CCAAAAAAAAAAAAAAGUCACUUUAGCUCUUUGGUCGCCUAAUCUAAAAUCUCCAUUGGUGGUCCUGUGACUCAUGGAGCAUGACACAGGGGAGGCAUAACCCGCAUUCCUGUAGGCCCAGCCAUGCCUCCUCCCUCCUUCCUAACUCCACUAGGAAGCAGUGGCUCUGUUCAGAACCUGGCUUGCUUUGUAGGUGGUGAAAACCCCAGCAACGGGUGCCAGAUCCAUUGAGACUAAGAGCUGAAGGCAACCAACGUCCUGGGAAACAAAAAGACUUGCCUGUCUGGCAUACUAAAGCCAAGAAGUAUACAGCUGGGAGAGACCCUGCACAUUGUCUAGCUCUGUAUCUUUUCAGAUGAUGAAAUGAGGCUCAGGGAGGUAGAGAUUUGCACACAGAAAGCCCUGGUAACCAGUAGCUAAGAUCUAAACACAGGUUUUUAUCAAAGACGAGGUCAGAUUUACAGACCCCAAGACUAAAGAAUUCUUAUCAUGCAUUAGGUCCAAAGAGACUGGGGGAGGGUAAGUACCGAUGCUAAUUACCGGUACCAUACCAGCGGUACUGCACUCUAGGUAUAACAAAUAUCAUGAUAUGUCUGGGAAUCAGAGCCCAUUAAAUACUAGGCUAUGUAACAAUUCUGAUAAUAGGAGCUAUUGAAAUAAGAAAACACUGCAAUUCUAUCAACACCUUCCCCAUAGUUGUGAGACCGUGUGCACACCCCGAUACAGUACAGGGUGAGGUUCUGGUUCUGCUCUCCUUGGCCAAGCUUGAGGAAGAGCCUGCCUCUCCAGGGGGUAACAGAAUCAGUGCUUCUCACUGCAACACUAGGAGCAUCUGGCACCGGCCGUGAGAGGCGCUCGUGCGAGACUUCUCCUUUGCCUUUGUGCACGGACUGCCUCUGGCGACCCUGUCAGUCUGGUAUCUUCCUCGUGUUCUUUAAUCCCCUGAGUCCCUCGGGGCCUCCAGAGGUUAAAACCGAGGGCUGCGUGAAGCUCGCACAGUCCAGAAGCACCUCCACGAGGCCACUCCCAGCUGGGCUCAGGUCCACCCUCUGGGGCCUCCCUGCCUGACGGCAACGCUUGCGUGUUGGCACUUGUGCGCUCCUCCAAGCUAGUUUCACCCGGGAUUUGGCUCGGUUUGCCCGCAGCAGCCCAACUCCCCGCUAAGCUCCCAGAACUAAGCGCGGGGACCUUCAACGGCCUUCCCGGUGGCUCCUCCUCCUCCAGAGGUGUCACCCUUCUGGGAAACGGUACUCCUCCCUCUCACCCCCGCCCAGCACUGCUGGGGGUGGGCGGGAACCGGUGCCAGCCGGUGAUUCCAGGUCGAGCCUCCCGCCCUCACCAAGCUUGACCCAGCCCAAACCCCUAAUAGCCACGCGCUGGGAGCCUCCCCACCGCGGGGUACCGGGCCCUCUCUACCACCGCGCGCCAGAAUGCACCUCUGUAAAAGACAACAAAAUAAGAACCAGCCAAGGAAAGCAAAUAAGUUUCUUGACUUCUUUUGAACGUGUGAGGACCAUUUGACUUGUCCACAUCCCAGAGAUCCUGUUUCCCAAGCAAACAUUUUCAGGAGUCUUUGAGGACAAUCUUCAGCAAAAUGAGAGAACAGACCAAGAAAAAGAAAAGCAUGAACUCAAGUGUAUCCAAACCAGGAGCACAGCUGAAGGAAGUCCCAGAAGGGCAGCUACCCAGCAGGCUCACAGAGCGACUGGCACAGAUGGGAGCAAGAAGGGCCCUCUUUUUCCAUAUCAUGUGAUUUUUAAAAGCAUAUGCUUGUAUUAUCUGAAAUACUUCAGAUAAAAAAAAAAAACCAGCAUACUUCAUGUUACAAACUUUCUUCUAAGCAUACACAAUCCUCCCUCUGCGUUUCUAUUUUUAAAACAUGGUGUGUUUAAGAAUUACUUAGUGGUAACAUCAGUCAAUACAAAAGCAUAUGAAAGUCUCCAGCUGCCUCCUACACGCCCAGGAGUCAAUCACUACUAGAGUUAUGCAUCUUCUCCAACUCUGGUAUGCAUAGUCUUUAUUAAAAUGUUUUACCAAAAACAAAAAAAAAAUCAUACUAUAUGUGUUCUUUCACAACUUGCUUUUUCACAGGGCGCUGUGUCACAGGUGUACCCCCUUGUCAAUGAGCACAUACUCACCUUAUUCUUUUUUAUGACUGUACAGGUUUCUGCAGACGGACAGACCACAAUUUAUUUAACCUGCACCUUAUUAAUAGAUAUUUAGAUUGCCUCCAAUUUUUGACUAAUGCAACAAAUGCUUCCAGAAACAGUCAGACACAUGCUUCUUUGUACAAGUAUUUUUUUAAGAUAAAUUUCAAGAUGUGAAAUUGCUGGUUCAAAGGACACAUGUGUUUUACAUUUUAAUAGAUUAGAAAGUGAAAACCCCUUCCCCCAAAAUGGGCUGUACUAUUUUACACUCACACUAAAAAUAUAUGAGUAGUCAUUUCCCUACAUUUUUACCAAUCACUGACAUUAUUAACCUUUUAAGGUUUUGUUUCAUGAAACCAGCAAA
Long non-coding RNA from Lynx canadensis (Canada lynx), 2511 nucleotides. RefSeq lists it as uncharacterized. The record is from RefSeq and is a predicted model, not a curated record. Lineage: Eukaryota; Metazoa; Chordata; Mammalia; Carnivora; Felidae. The transcript has 3 exons.